UUGAAGCGUGGACGCCAGUCUGCGUGGAGCCAACCUUGAAAUACCACCCUUUAAUGUUUGAUGUUCUAACGUUGGCCCCUUACCGGGGUUGCGGACAGUGUCUGGUGGGUAGUUUGACUGGGGCGGUCUCCUCCCAAAGCGUAACGGAGGAGCACGAAGGUUAGCUAAUCCUGGUCGGACAUCAGGAGGUUAGUGCAAUGGCAUAAGCUAGCUUGACUGCGAGCGUGACGGCGCGAGCAGGUGCGAAAGCAGGUCAUAGUGAUCCGGUGGUUCUGAAUGGAAGGGCCAUCGCUCAACGGAUAAAAGGUACUCCGGGGAUAACAGGCUGAUACCGCCCAAGAGUUCAUAUCGACGGCGGUGUUUGGCACCUCGAUGUCGGCUCAUCACAUCCUGGGGCUGAAGUAGGUCCCAAGGGUAUGGCUGUUCGCCAUUUAAAGUGGUACGCGAGCUGGGUUUAGAACGUCGUGAGACAGUUCGGUCCCUAUCUGCCGUGGGCGCUGGAGAAUUGAGGGGGGCUGCUCCUAGUACGAGAGGACCGGAGUGGACGCAUCACUGGUGUUCGGGUUGUCAUGCCAAUGGCACUGCCCGGUAGCUAAAUGCGGAAGAGAUAAGUGCUGAAAGCAUCUAAGCACGAAACUUGCCCCGAGAUGAGUUCUCCCUGAGACUUUAAGUCUCCUGAAGGAACGUUGAAGACGACGACGUUGAUAGGCCGGGUGUGUAAGCGCAGCGAUGCGUUGAGCUAACCGGUACUAAUGAACCGUGAGGCUUAACCUU
RNAcentral lists this ribosomal RNA (774 nucleotides) under Klebsiella pneumoniae. RNAcentral describes it as "partial 23S ribosomal RNA". It matches the Rfam family "Bacterial large subunit ribosomal RNA", at positions 2157 to 2925 of the family's 2925-position model. The record is from RNAcentral. Lineage: Bacteria; Pseudomonadati; Pseudomonadota; Gammaproteobacteria; Enterobacterales; Enterobacteriaceae.